RNAcentral lists this long non-coding RNA (1703 nucleotides) under Ceratitis capitata (Mediterranean fruit fly). RNAcentral's name for it is "uncharacterized LOC105665082". Lineage: Eukaryota; Metazoa; Arthropoda; Insecta; Diptera; Tephritidae. The record is from RNAcentral.
UACACCCGUAAGGACGGUGGAAAAUACUUAUGAAAACUAAUAGCCAAAAACAAAAAGAAAAAAACAUUACCCGGGUAUAUUGAAAAUAAGUGUUCAAAGAACGCACAAAAUCACCGAAAAAACGGUUGAAAGAGAACGAAAUAAUAACAACAGUGCAAAAAGUGAAAGAAAGGCGAAAUUCUGAAAUUAUUUUCCACACAAUCGUGCCAAAAUUCAAUCAUUUAAUAACAGCAAACAGUGUUUGAAACGAUCAAUAGCCUAAAAGUAUGCUCGCAAAUACACUUUCAGUGCCAACGCCAGAAUAGUGACGUUUAACAUAAGUAAAAUCUUACAGUAUAAUAUUUACGCAAUAGCAGUGAACUGAAUAUGAAGUCGAACACCAGUCGCUAGGGAGAACCGGUGGAAUUUAACGUUGUAUAGCUGUCACAUUGACCGUCACAACAUCGAGUGUUGCAUAUUUUUGAGAUGUAGUGUAAGCGUAACAGAGGCUUGUAUACUAUUAAGUGCCAAAUUGUGAACAGUGCCACAGAUAAUCUUUGUGAGAUGAAAAAUAAAUGAAAAAAGCCCUAAACAAAGUCUUUAAUAUCACUUCACUGUUGCCAAAUAUAUAAAAGUAUAUAAGAGUAUUUAAAAUAAAAUAUUUAUAGUGAAGCGUGCUUACAAAGAUAACAGUAAAAGCAAACAGUUGUAUGUAGUAUAACCGCCUAAAGCUAUGCUAAAAAAAUAAAACCAUGUCUUAAAUUUCUGUUUAAGUGCGUACACUGCAUUGCCAGUUAACAUUGGAUAUACACAGUUACAUAUAUAUGACUCAAAGUGAGACAAGCGUUAUUUGCUUCAAAGGGAUUUAUUAUUGCAUAUUUUGUCAGUAAUUUAUGUCGCUUAACGGGUCUAUUAAAAAAGACAUUUUACUGCCGAUUCUGGAGUAACUAAACUCAGAGCAUAACUGUAGUUGCAUAUCAGCCGUAAAAACUUUGAGCAACAACAAUCGAAUCACCCUUUUGGGCUGGCACAUAAAACUGGGCAAAUGACGAGGAGAGUAGAUAGUAAAACACAACGUAAUGAAAAUGCUGUUUUAUAUCAGCCAAAACGCCAGAACGAAUAGCAGCAACAUUUAUAAAAACAAGAAAAACAACAAUAGAUGUUUACCAGAUAACAAGCAGCAUUAAAAACCAGUAACAAGACACUUGACAUUCUUUAAAUGUAAUCAAGCGUCAAACAGACAGUAACAGCAACAGAACGCAAUUUAACAAGGCAUACAUUUAGGCGUGAAUAUAUUUUUGUUUUCCACUCUAUUCUUUGAGCUGGUAACUUUUUUACGGCGCAAAUUUGGCGCAUUUUUACGAGCGUUUGACAUAAACAAAUUAACAAAUGGAGUAAGUGAAAAAUAUAUAGAGUGGGAGAAAAACUUAGGAAACCGGCAGCAGCAGCAGCAAAAGCAACAAUACCAACAACAAGGACAACACACAGCUGCUGCAUAAUAAUAAGCACGAAAUCGGCGAAAGCAAAUGAAAUUUAAAUAGACUUCAAUGGCGGCAGCGAAAUUAGACGUGAGUGCGCGCGCCCAAAAGUAGACUUUAAAUGGCAACUCGUGUCGUCCACAUUUCCACACGAAGUGACCUAAAUCAAUUGUUAGCCGCGAAGGGUGACUGCACGGCCUGAAAAGAAAAGCGUUGAAGUUGUGGAGAGUGAAGAUAGGCAAGCCA